Molecule: ribosomal RNA, 484 nt
Filed under: uncultured bacterium
Lineage: Bacteria
Description: partial 16S ribosomal RNA
Rfam family: Bacterial small subunit ribosomal RNA
Source: RNAcentral
AUUGAACGCUGGCGGCAUGCUUUACACAUGCAAGUCGAACGGCAGCGCGGGCUUCGGCCUGGCGGCGAGUGGCGAACGGGUGAGUAAUGCAUCGGAACGUGCCCAGUAGUGGGGGAUAGCCCGGCGAAAGCCGGAUUAAUACCGCAUACGACCUGAGGGUGAAAGCGGGGGAUCGAAAGGCCUCGCGCUAUUGGAGCGGCCGAUGUCGGAUUAGCUAGUUGGUGGGGUAAAGGCUUACCAAGGCGACGAUCCGUAGCUGGUCUGAGAGGACGACCAGCCACACUGGGACUGAGACACGGCCCAGACUCCUACGGGAGGCAGCAGUGGGGAAUUUUGGACAAUGGGGGCAACCCUGAUCCAGCCAUGCCGCGUGCGGGAAGAAGGCCUUCGGGUUGUGAACCGCUUUUGUUCGGGAAGAAAUCCUCUGGGCUAAUACCCCGGGGGGAUGACGGUACCGGAAGAAUAAGCACCGGCUAACUACGUG